CCGUGCUAGAUGGGGAAUUAGCGGUGCCCUGUAACCUGCAAUCCGCUAUAGCAGGAUUGAUGCUGGCGCUAGGUUAAUACCGGUUAAUUAUAAAGGUUGAUUUGAUAUUGAAGUUUAGAUCUAUUACAAUGCUAAUAAUAAGAACCCCGUCAGGCCUGGAAGGGAGCAGCGGUAAUUUUUAUGACCCAUGUGUAUAUGGUAAUCUAAGCAGAGUUAAAUCCUCAUUUUUUAAUUGAUUAUGGAUAAGCCAACCGUUAGUGCGCGG
This 265-nucleotide signal recognition particle RNA is filed under the name Fidelibacterota bacterium. RNAcentral's name for it is "signal recognition particle sRNA large type". It matches the Rfam family "Bacterial large signal recognition particle RNA". Rfam says of the family: The signal recognition particle (SRP) is a universally conserved ribonucleoprotein involved in the co-translational targeting of proteins to membranes. Archaeal SRP consists of a 7S RNA and homologues of the eukaryotic SRP19 and SRP54 proteins. The record is from RNAcentral. Lineage: Bacteria; Pseudomonadati; Fidelibacterota.